RNAcentral lists this ribosomal RNA (450 nucleotides) under uncultured bacterium. Its description in RNAcentral is "bacterial SSU rRNA". It matches the Rfam family "Bacterial small subunit ribosomal RNA", at positions 329 to 794 of the family's 1533-position model. The record is from RNAcentral.
GACCAGACUCCUACGGGAGGCAGCAGUGGGGAAUAUUGGGCAAUGGGCGCAAGCCUGACCCAGCAACGCCGCGUGAAGGAAGAAGGCUUUCGGGUUGUAAACUUCUUUUAAGAGGGAAGAGUAGAAGACGGUACCUCUUGAAUAAGCCACGGCUAACUACGUGCCAGCAGCCGCGGUAAUACGUAGGGGGCAAGCGUUAUCCGGAUUUACUGGGUGUAAAGGGGGCGCAGACGGCGAUGCAAGCCAGGAGUGAAAGCCCGGGGCCCAACCCCGGGACUGCUCUUGGAACUGCGUGGCUGGAGUGCAGGAGGGGCAGGCGGAAUUCCUGGUGUAGCGGUGAAAUGCGUAGAUAUCAGGAGGAACACCGGUGGCGAAGGCGGCCUGCUGGACUGCAACUGACGUUGAGGCCCGAAAGCGUGGGGAGCAACCAGGAUUAGAUACCCGCGUAAC